GACGUUUAAAAAGUGGCACGCUUGCUUGAAUGAUAAUAAAUAAUAUCAUACAAACAAAUCGAAGAAUUUUUAUUAUUAACUUGUGGAACUUGUGCGUGGUAUAAUAGUCAAGAACUACAUUCUAUUCCUUAUUUAAGACAAAAGGCAUCUCUAAAUAUGUCUGAUGAUUUUAUACCUUUAAACCAAAGCACGCCAGUUCAGGGGAAAUGGCAAAAUAGAAGUCAUAACAACCGAGGACACAAUCAAAAUCGUUUCCAGCAACACAAUCAACGGCGGGGUGGCCACAAUAACAGAUGGGGAAAUAACUCUCACAGGAGUAGCAGUUUUGGUAGUGACUCAAACAGCAGCUACGGACACGAUAAGAGUAACAUUGAAUCUUAUCUCCACCCAUCAAUGCUACAAGACCCUUGGGAACAUCUGAGACAAGCUAAGAAUUCGUCAUAACACUCAGACAAGGUACAUUAACUUAUUCCUUUUUGCUGGCCAAAGAUUUGAAUCAUUGGGUGCAUUUGGCUGAAAAAAACAUUUGGAAGCUAUGGCUAGCGCUGAUAAAAAACUAAUAACUAUGCAGUUGUCAGCAAGGACACAUUUGCUAACUUCAAUAGUGAUGAGUUUAAUUAAUUUUGUAACAGUGACAGUAACCGCUUAGCGAUAGCCAUUUUGCUUAUAAGCACUUCUGAGCGCUUUUUUCUGCCAAACGCACCCAUUGUGUUUUAAUUUGUACAAUCGGUAUGCCCUUGUGUGUAUGUGAUAUAGUACAGAUUUGUAUGUUUAUAGCGAAAAUCAUAUUUCCAUAUUUUACAGUACCUAGUGUUCAUCACACAUUUAAACUUUUUGUAAUAAUUUUGUAAAUAAAGUCCUGACUAGUGUACUACUUUGUGCAGCAAUCUUUUAAUGUACAAAGUACAACAAGGGUAUGUUUAAAUUUAAGACUGUUGUUAAUUAUAAUAGGCUAUUCAUGUCAUAACACACUGAAUUUUCAUGUUAUAGGUGCUUAAUUUGUAUGUAUGUAUGUUA
This is a long non-coding RNA of Ostrinia furnacalis (Asian corn borer), 1017 nucleotides long. RefSeq lists it as uncharacterized. The record is from RefSeq and is a predicted model, not a curated record. The transcript is spliced from 2 exons. NCBI's taxonomy places the organism in Eukaryota, Metazoa, Arthropoda, Insecta, Lepidoptera, Crambidae.